Long non-coding RNA from Vespula pensylvanica (western yellowjacket), 342 nucleotides. RefSeq lists it as uncharacterized. The record is from RefSeq and is a predicted model, not a curated record. The transcript has 2 exons. Lineage: Eukaryota; Metazoa; Arthropoda; Insecta; Hymenoptera; Vespidae.
UGUCAGCCAAAGACCGAUGUGAGCCAUUAGGAGACGCACCAUCGUCAAGACUUGGAUCAAAUGAGAAUUUGCUCCCUGCACAUACAUUCACAAUUUAUUGCUUGUAUUAGUAUUUUGACGAUUCGCCGUCUGUGCAAAGAUUCAAACUUACCACCAAGGCCACCACCACUACUUGGAUCAACUGGCGUUGUACUUUCUCUGCCUUCCUCGACGAGAGCCAUAUCCCUUCGUUGUACUACCGAUUCGCGCAUCAUAUGCUGUGCUUCACUGAACUCUUCGCUACGUCGUCCAACCUGCAUAAGCAUAAUAUUAUAAUCACUUAAUAUGCUCGUUUUUAUAUUA